UUCUACCACUGUAGAAGACUUAUGCGGAUAACAACCGCGUACCUAGGAGAACUAGGAUUGGACUCCUUUAAAGGAGAAAACAAAUG
The submitters of this non-coding RNA (86 nucleotides) gave its source as unclassified sequences. The record is from Rfam.